UACAGAGGGUGCAAGCGUUGUUCGGAAUUAUUGGGCGUAAAGCGCGUGUAGGCGGCAUGGCAAGUCGGGUGUGAAAGCCCUCAGCUUAACUGAGGAAGUGCGCCCGAAACUACUUUGCUUGAGUGCCGGAGAGGAUGGCGGAAUUCCCCAAGUAGAGGUGAAAUUCGUAGAUAUGGGGAGGAACACCGGUGGCGAAGGCGGCCAUCUGGACGGUAACUGACGCUGAGACGCGAAAGCGUGGGUAGCAAACAGG
This 253-nucleotide ribosomal RNA is filed under the name uncultured bacterium. Its description in RNAcentral is "partial 16S ribosomal RNA". It matches the Rfam family "Bacterial small subunit ribosomal RNA", at positions 524 to 776 of the family's 1533-position model. The record is from RNAcentral.